Molecule: small RNA, 117 nt
Filed under: Pongo abelii (Sumatran orangutan)
Lineage: Eukaryota; Metazoa; Chordata; Mammalia; Primates; Hominidae
Description: Metazoan signal recognition particle RNA (ENSPPYG00000034125.1)
Source: Rfam by way of RNAcentral
GCUGGGCGCGGUGGCUCACGCCUGUAAUCCCAGCACUUUGGGAGGCCGAGGCAGGUGGAUCACCUGAGGUCAGGAGUUCGAGACCAGCCUGGCCAACAUGGUGAAACCCUGUCUCUA